Molecule: ribosomal RNA, 537 nt
Filed under: human intestinal firmicute CB15
Lineage: Bacteria
Description: bacterial SSU rRNA
Rfam family: Bacterial small subunit ribosomal RNA
Source: RNAcentral
AGAGUUUGAUCCUGGCUCAGGACGAACGCUGGCGGCGUGCUUAACACAUGCAAGUCGAACGGGGUGUUUAUUUCGGUAAACACCAAGUGGCGAACGGGUGAGUAACGCGUAAGCAAUCUACCUUCAAGAUGGGGACAACACUUCGAAAGGGGUGCUAAUACCGAAUGAAUGUAAGAGUAUCGCAUGAGACACUUACUAAAGGAGGCCUCUGACAUAAGCUUCCGCUUGAAGAUGAGCUUGCGUCUGAUUAGCUAGUUGGUGAGGGUAAAGGCCCACCAAGGCGACGAUCAGUAGCCGGUCUGAGAGGAUGAACGGCCACAUUGGGACUGAGACACGGCCCAGACUCCUACGGGAGGCAGCAGUGGGGAAUCUUCCGCAAUGGGCGAAAGCCUGACGGAGCAACGCCGCGUGAACGAUGAAGGUCUUAGGAUCGUAAAGUUCUGUUGUUAGGGACGAAGGGUAAGAAUCAUAAUAAGGUUUUUAUUUGACGGUACCUAACGAGGAAGCCACGGCUAACUACGUGCCAGCAGCCGCGGU